This 306-nucleotide ribosomal RNA is filed under the name Triparma pacifica. Its description in RNAcentral is "partial Bacterial small subunit ribosomal RNA". It matches the Rfam family "Bacterial small subunit ribosomal RNA", at positions 372 to 695 of the family's 1533-position model. Lineage: Eukaryota; Bolidophyceae; Parmales; Triparmaceae. The record is from RNAcentral.
UGGGCGAAAGCCUGACGGAGCAAUGCCGCGUGUGGGAUCAAGCAUCUUCGAUGUGUAAACCACUGUCAGGGUCUAGGAAUACUGACCAGACCCAGAGGAAGGGCCGGCUAAUUCAGUGCCAGCAGCCGCGGUAAUACUGAAGGCCCGAGCGUUAAUCGGAAUCACUGGGCUUAAAGCGUACGCAGGCGGACUUGUAGGUAUUUUGUGAAAUCCCACGGCUUAACCGUGGAACUGCAGAGUAAACCACAAGUCUUGAGACAUGUAGGGGUCAGUGGAACGAUGUGUGGAGCGGUGAAAUGCGUAGAU